AACGAACGCUGGCGGCAUGCCUAACACAUGCAAGUCGAGCGAACCCUUCGGGGUGAGUGGCGCACGGGUGCGUAACGCGUGGGAACCUGCCCUUAGGUUCGGAAUAACAGUGAGAAAUCGCUGCUAAUACCGGAUAAUGUCUUCGGACCAAAGAUUUAUCGCCUUUGGAUGGGCCCGCGUUGGAUUAGCUAGUUGGUGGGGUAAAGGCUCACCAAGGCGACGAUCCAUAGCUGGUCUUAGAGGAUGAUCAGCCACACUGGGACUGAGACACGGCCCAGACUCCUACGGGAGGCAGCAGUGGGGAAUAUUGGACAAUGGGCGAAAGCCUGAUCCAGCAAUGCCGCGUGAGUGAUGAAGGCCUUAGGGUUGUAAAGCUCUUUUACCAGGGAUGAUAAUGACAGUACCUGGAGAAUAAGCUCCGGCUAACUCCGUGCCAGCAGCCGCGG
RNAcentral lists this ribosomal RNA (446 nucleotides) under uncultured bacterium. RNAcentral describes it as "bacterial SSU rRNA". It matches the Rfam family "Bacterial small subunit ribosomal RNA", at positions 29 to 520 of the family's 1533-position model. The record is from RNAcentral.